This 120-nucleotide ribosomal RNA is filed under the name uncultured bacterium. RNAcentral's name for it is "partial 16S ribosomal RNA". It matches the Rfam family "Bacterial small subunit ribosomal RNA", at positions 1365 to 1482 of the family's 1533-position model. The record is from RNAcentral.
AAUACGUUCCCGGGCCUUGUACACACCGCCCGUCACACCACGAAAGUCGGCAACACCCGAAGCCGGUGGCCCAACCCGUAAGGGAGGGAGCCGUCGAAGGUGGGGUCGGUGAUUGGGGUG